CCACUCAUGGCGUAGCGAUAACGCGUCCUAUCUAGUGAACAGGAAGUCGUGAGUUCGAUUCUCACCGAGGAGA
This 73-nucleotide transfer RNA is filed under the name Aedes aegypti (yellow fever mosquito). It matches the Rfam family "tRNA". From Rfam's summary of the family: Transfer RNA (tRNA) molecules are approximately 80 nucleotides in length. The record is from Rfam by way of RNAcentral. Lineage: Eukaryota; Metazoa; Arthropoda; Insecta; Diptera; Culicidae.